This 246-nucleotide ribosomal RNA is filed under the name uncultured Lactobacillus sp. RNAcentral describes it as "partial 16S ribosomal RNA". It matches the Rfam family "Bacterial small subunit ribosomal RNA", at positions 116 to 355 of the family's 1533-position model. Lineage: Bacteria; Bacillati; Bacillota; Bacilli; Lactobacillales; Lactobacillaceae. The record is from RNAcentral.
CGUGGGGAACCUGCCCCAUAGUCUGGGAUACCACUUGGAAACAGGUGCUAAUACCGGAUAAGAAAGCAGAUCGCAUGAUCAGCUUUUAAAAGGCGGCGUAAGCUGUCGCUAUGGGAUGGCCCCGCGGUGCAUUAGCUAGUUGGUAAGGUAAAGGCUUACCAAGGCGAUGAUGCAUAGCCGAGUUGAGAGACUGAUCGGCCACAUUGGGACUGAGACACGGCCCAAACUCCUACGGGAGGCAGCAGC